AUUGAACGCUGGCGGCAGGCCUAACACAUGCAAGUCGAGCGGAUGAAGGGAGCUUGCUCCUGGAUUCAGCGGCGGACGGGUGAGUAAUGCCUAGGAAUCUGCCUGGUAGUGGGGGAUAACGUCCGGAAACGGGCGCUAAUACCGCAUACGUCCUGAGGGAGAAAGUGGGGGAUCUUCGGACCUCACGCUAUCAGAUGAGCCUAGGUCGGAUUAGCUAGUUGGUGGGGUAAAGGCCUACCAAGGCGACGAUCCGUAACUGGUCUGAGAGGAUGAUCAGUCAGACUGGAACAGAGACACGGGCCAGACUACUACGGGAGGCGGCAGUGGGGAAUAUUGGACGAUGGGCGAAAGCCUGAAACAGCCAUGCCGCGUGGGUGAAGAAGGUCUUCGUAUUGUAAAGCACUUUAAGUUGGAAGGAAGGGCAGUAAGUUAAUACCUUGCUGUUUUGACGUUACCAACAGAAUAAGCACCGGCUAACUUCGUG
RNAcentral lists this ribosomal RNA (484 nucleotides) under uncultured bacterium. RNAcentral's name for it is "partial 16S ribosomal RNA". It matches the Rfam family "Bacterial small subunit ribosomal RNA", at positions 30 to 507 of the family's 1533-position model. The record is from RNAcentral.